Molecule: ribosomal RNA, 434 nt
Filed under: uncultured Bryobacterales bacterium
Lineage: Bacteria; Pseudomonadati; Acidobacteriota; Terriglobia; Bryobacterales
Description: bacterial SSU rRNA
Rfam family: Bacterial small subunit ribosomal RNA
Source: RNAcentral
ACGGGAGGCAGCAGUGGGGAAUCUUGCACAAUGGGGGCAACCCUGAUGCAGCGACGCCGCGUGAGCGAUGAAGCCCUUCGGGGUGUAAAGCUCUUUCGGCAGGGACGAUAAUGACGGUACCUGCAGAAGAAGCUGCGGCUAACUACGUGCCAGCAGCCGCGGUAAUACGUAGGCAGCGAGCGUUGUUCGGAGUUACUGGGCGUAAAGCGUGCGUAGGCGGUGGUCCAAGUCUGGUGUGAAAUCUCCCGGCUCAACUGGGAGGGUGCGCCGGAAACUGGGCCGCUGGAGUAUGGGAGAGGCAAGCGGAAUUCCAGGUGUAGCGGUGAAAUGCGUAGAUAUCUGGAGGAACACCCGUGGUGCAGACGGCUUGCUGGACCAUCACUGACGCUGAGGCACGAAAGCGUGGGUAGCAAACAGGAUUAGAUACCCUGGUA